This is a non-coding RNA of Cinara cedri, 290 nucleotides long. The record is from the annotation of a GenBank genome assembly. Lineage: Eukaryota; Metazoa; Arthropoda; Insecta; Hemiptera; Aphididae.
AGAUGUUAUAAUGGUAUAUACGAGUUCUGAUAAAGACCGUUAUUUAUUCAGAGAAACGUUAUUAAAAGUACCUAUGUCAAGUUUCCUAUCUCACGGCAAAUAUUCGCAUAAUGUCGUAAUAUUGUAAUUUUACAGUUUUUUACACCAUAGUAUGUAGGUAUUUAUGUACGAAAUACAGCUAGUUGUAUACAUACAGUGGUAGAUAUUUGUUUUUAUGACUCGUUGAAAUUUUAGGACCUUGAUAUUAUGUACGCCCACAUAUCUAAUACUCAAAACGUUUUGUGCGCACA